CCCUUGUCCGCAGAGGGACAGUAGUUCUGUCCAAGCCAGGUUCUGCUGCAAAACCUCAGGGACUUCCUGCCUCGAGGAUCUGGCAUUGUCACCCGACGUCCCCUGGUCUUGCAGCUGGUCAAUGCAAC
This 128-nucleotide small RNA is filed under the name Pongo abelii (Sumatran orangutan). RNAcentral describes it as "processed transcript". The record is from RNAcentral. Lineage: Eukaryota; Metazoa; Chordata; Mammalia; Primates; Hominidae.